UACGUAGGGUGCAAGCGUUGUCCGGAAUUAUUGGGCGUAAAGAGCUCGUAGGCGGUCUGUCGCGUCGGCUGUGAAAACCCGGGGCUCAACCCGGGCCUGCAGUCGAUACGGGCAGACUAGAGUGCGGUAGGGGAGACUGGAAUUCCUGGUGUAGCGGUGAAAUGCGCAGAUAUCAGGAGGAACACCAAUAGCGAAGGCAGCUUGCUGGGACGGUACUGACGCUAAGGCGCGAAAGCGUGGGGAGCGAACAGG
RNAcentral lists this ribosomal RNA (252 nucleotides) under uncultured bacterium. RNAcentral's name for it is "partial 16S ribosomal RNA". It matches the Rfam family "Bacterial small subunit ribosomal RNA", at positions 524 to 776 of the family's 1533-position model. The record is from RNAcentral.